GUAGAAUAAAUUUAUAAGUGAGAAACUAGAUAUAAAUUCUUGAUAAACUUUUACAAAGAAGUUAGAGAGUAAAUUUGAAGAGAUUGUAAGUCGAAUAUGAGUCACAGGCUUACAAACUCUUUUAACAAGAAAAUCCAUUUUAUCGAGAGAUGAUAAGAUUUAUCAAUCUUAAGCUUAAUUAAAGGCUCAAAUACUCAAAUCACUUAAAAUAUUGUAUUAUUAGUUCCAUUUAGACAGAUAAGAUUUAGACAAAAAUCAUUUUAAGAUAUUUUUACUUUUCAUUUGAAAUAAAAUGACAGAAUUGACAUAAAACUGUUAUACUAGCGACAUCUAAAGAUUUUCAGCGAAUAAAUCUACAAGAAUGGUUACAAAUAUGUCAAACUCAAUCAUCGUUCGCUUCAAAUAGUAAACAUCGAGUUUCGACAGUGUUCCCUAUCAUACCUGGAACAAUUCUAUUCUCAAGACACGGUGUUUUCGGUUAAUCGAAGAUGCAUGCAUCACGAACAAAUUUAGUUCGCACGUAUUCCUGUCAUCCCUUUGCACGACGAAACUAAUAUGGAAUCUGCUUGAUAGUCACAGCGCGUUCCUUCAUUCGAAACUCUAUUUUCCAGAAGGAUAGGACCGGAGGAGAAACAAGCUUGCUUGAAUUUUGAAGGAAAGAUCAUUGAACUUUGUUGGAUCGGUCCAAAUGACACGAUCAAGAAUUAAAUCAAAUUAACCUGGAUCUUCAACGGAAUAUAUCACGUAUUUACCGUUUCUACCAAUAAACAACUUCGCUCUAUACACAUACACGUAUUCGUCGAAAUGAAAUUUUUAGUUGUAGAACAUAUGAGGGCUCGUUCCUCAAGGAUACACCAUGUCCACGCGACAGCGAUUCCUCGUUUGGGAUGGCCCUUAUGGAUUCACGCCGGCAUAUCAAGCAGUCCCAGACACGGGUUUAAGAUUAAUGCUCGUUAUGAAUCUAAGGCGAUUACAUCGUGAUUAAGUUAAGGAGCCUUCGUCUUAAUCGCUGAAUCACGCCGGGCCAUUCUAAUUGGUUAAUCCGUCUCUGCACUGCUAUUCCAGUAAGUGUAAAUCUCGGGCAUAUGUUAAUUCGAAACAAUACGAUAACCUCUCCAAUGUUUGACAAAUAUCCCCGUGUCCAUCCACGCGUAGAUCCACGCGUUUCGAUACGAAGGGGCCAGUUCCACCUCGUGAUAGGUUAUGCGCGUCGCCACUAAUUAAGGGGAUGCGAUCGGUUCAUCUUAUUACGGGCUGCAUUAUCGUGUAAGGGAUGCUGCAAUCUGUAAUACUAUUAGCAUUAAUUGGAAUGGAGUAAUUAACCUUUGGUUGGGCGGCGUUCAGAUAGCAGAUAAACCGCGGCUAAUAUGCGGUUUAUUCGUGUACACGUGAAUAGUUAACAGGGGAGCCACGUGUAUACAUGUGGCGGUGCAGUCGGAAAAUAAAGAGGAAGGAAGAAAAGGAUGGAGAGAGUGUUUCGCCUUGGAUCCGCUAGAGGUUGUAAGUGUGACUUAACAGAAUAAUGAAGGUUUUUUUAUUUUUCUUUCUUCGAUGAAUUUAGUUUCGAAUUUUGAUUAUAUUCGAAUUAUAUCGGUGUCGUUAAUCUGAAUUAUAGAAGAUGAUAGAAAGUGAGAAUUGUGAUCAAGCAACGAAUCGAUACAUAAUACAGUAGUACACCUGUCUCUUUAUUCUUUUCAAUGAAAUCAAUUUAUUCAAAAUUUAUUUUCAAAUAUUUAUUCAUUUUCGAAGUGUGUCAACGCAUGUAGUCUCGCACGGUCAUCAUCGAUUUCACGUGGAAAUGUACCACGAUCACGUGCUUCAGAACUGAUGCAACACGAACUAGCGAUCUUUCACGUUAUUUUCAUCGUACGUGAUGACAUUAUGUAUAUACCUUUCUUACGUAUUUCCGGAAAAAGUAUUCAUCGUGAACGAGCCGCGCCCUCAAAUUCCACGCUCAAUUUUCAUCGCGAUGCGACAUAUUUAUUAUAUAUUCUCCAUAGAGAAACGAAGAUGACUGUAGCAGUUUCAUACGUUAAAGGGAGAAAUGGAUAUAAAUAAGAAAAAAUUAACAGUCUUCAUUUCUUUGUCAACAUGUAUGAUUAAAAAAAAGAAGUGUGAAUUAUUUUCUAAUAAAAAAAAAACUACGUGACGUAUAAAUUUCAUUAAUUAGCUUGCAAAGUGCGUACUGUUAUUGUUUAAAUAAAUAAAGAAAAUUAAAAUUCAAAGAAAAUUCGAAGAGUUAUCAGACCAUUAAGCUAUUCUAGUUCUGAGGAAUGGUAAUUGAAACAUUAAAAAGCUAUUACGCUCGUCAAUUAAGUAUUCAUUAUCGCCAUUCAUUACUAGUCACGAUUAUCGAGCAGCAUAUGCCCCAUAAAAGUGAAAAAGAAUGGAAAGAACGAGGAAAGAUAAUAGGAGGGCGUGGUUAAAAGCGUCAAAAAUUCGUGAAACUCAUUGUGUCCAAGAGACUAAAACGGGAGAGUUCGACAAACUCGCACCAAACACGUGACCUUACUCAGAAGUUCGCGGAAGCCGACCCUCGUUUGCUAUUCAAGCCAUGAUCUCUUGGCCUGCUACGAGAUUCCUUUUUGGUAGUGUCUGCAAAUAUCACAUCGAACACUCGAUAUACGACAACCAAUAAAUCCCUAACCUCUAAGAAUCGUAUAGCCAAGGGAUGGUAGAGAUAAAAAUAAAAAUUUUCACGUGAGAUCACUUUGUAUCGAAGUUUAUGAUUAAUCUUUAUUACAUAUGAUGAUAAAUAAGAUUUUAUCAUAAGCGAAUGAUUAAUUAUACUUUUCUUAAUUAUGCGUGCUGAUCCUUACCAUCAAAUAUUUCGUUACAAAAAUUUAUGAUAUUAUUAUUUAAAAUAUUAGCUUAACUACCUCUCCAUUGUAUAAAUAAUAAUAAUGUAUAAAUAAUAAUAAUUAAACUAUUAUUUUUAUAAAGUAUCAAAAGAAA
Apis cerana (Asiatic honeybee) is the source of this 2955-nucleotide long non-coding RNA. RefSeq lists it as uncharacterized. The record is from RefSeq and is a predicted model, not a curated record. NCBI's taxonomy places the organism in Eukaryota, Metazoa, Arthropoda, Insecta, Hymenoptera, Apidae.